CUCUUCGACCCGUUCUCUCGAACACGCAGAUAGAGAUUUCCUCCGUCGGGAUGAUUGCCGGGCUUUUUGAUUCCUCGGACCUGUUUGUCA
RNAcentral lists this small RNA (90 nucleotides) under Sinorhizobium meliloti 2011. RNAcentral describes it as "putative ncRNA". Lineage: Bacteria; Pseudomonadati; Pseudomonadota; Alphaproteobacteria; Hyphomicrobiales; Rhizobiaceae. The record is from RNAcentral.